AAUCCAGCCCACGGCAUUCAAAGGCUGAAGGGCCACCUGACACUCCAGAGGCUGCUGGAAAUGCAGGGCUGUUUCAUCCUGGGUAUUUUCCAGAGAGAAGUACUGAGAAGCUUAAAGUAUUUGAAUGGGAGGAGGAGAAGCAAACUACAGCUACUUCAGAGGAUAACACUAAACACCUAGUCCACUCUGUAUACACUAGAGGUGCUGUUAAUUUUCUUGUGGAGAAGGAACUGUCUUUAGAAAAAUAUCUCAAAAAGCCACUGAAGUAGAAAGUUUCAGCAUGCUGAAGAUGGAACUUGAGAAGAUAGAAAGUUCUGGGUCCUUAGUGGCAUGACUGAGUCGCUGGACCACUGUUGGAACCACCCUAUGUCUUAGUUUUUAAAUCUCUUUACUGUCUAAGACAUUUUUAGUGGAAGUAUUUAUCUCUGGCAUCCAAUAAGACCUUUAAGGAUUUGCAGUUUUA
RNAcentral lists this long non-coding RNA (463 nucleotides) under Homo sapiens (human). RNAcentral's name for it is "non-protein coding lnc-ZC3H11B-1:14". Lineage: Eukaryota; Metazoa; Chordata; Mammalia; Primates; Hominidae. The record is from RNAcentral.